This 467-nucleotide ribosomal RNA is filed under the name uncultured bacterium. RNAcentral's name for it is "bacterial SSU rRNA". It matches the Rfam family "Bacterial small subunit ribosomal RNA", at positions 330 to 794 of the family's 1533-position model. The record is from RNAcentral.
GCCAGACUCCUACGGGAGGCAGCAGUGAGGAAUAUUGGUCAAUGGGCGCGAGCCUGAACCAGCCAAGUCGCGUGAGGGAGGACGGCCCUACGGGUUGUAAACCUCUUUUGCCGGGGAGCAACGGGCGUCACGUGUGGCGCCACUGAGAGUACCCGGAGAAAAAGCAUCGGCUAACUCCGUGCCAGCAGCCGCGGUAAUACGGAGGAUGCGAGCGUUAUCCGGAUUUAUUGGGUUUAAAGGGUGCGUAGGCGGUCCGUUAAGUCAGCGGUAAAAUGUCCGGGCUCAACCCGGGCCGGCCGUUGAAACUGGGGAUCUUGAGUGGGCGAGAAGUAUGCGGAAUGCGUGGUGUAGCGGUGAAAUGCAUAGAUAUCACGCAGAACUCCGAUUGCGAAGGCAGCAUGCCGGCUUCCGACUGACGCUGAAGCACGAAAGCGUGGGGAUCGAACAGGAUUAGAUACCCUGGUACU